This 512-nucleotide ribosomal RNA is filed under the name uncultured bacterium. RNAcentral's name for it is "partial 16S ribosomal RNA". It matches the Rfam family "Bacterial small subunit ribosomal RNA", at positions 28 to 523 of the family's 1533-position model. The record is from RNAcentral.
GACGAACGCUGGCGGCGUGCCUAAUACAUGCAAGUCGAGCGGAACUGGGGGAGCUUGCUCCUUCCAGUUUAGCGGCGGACGGGUGAGUAACACGUGGGCAACCUGCCCUGCAGAUCGGGAUAACUCCGGGCAACCGGUGCUAAUACCGAAGAGUUUGGCGCCUCUCCUGAGGCGCCACGGAAAGACGGUUUCGGCUGUCACUGCAGGAUGGGCCCGCGGCGCAUUAGCUAGUUGGUGGGGUAACGGCCCACCAAGGCGACGAGGCGUAGCCGACCUGAGAGGGUGAUCGGCCACACUGGGACUGAGACACGGCCCAGACUCCUGCGGGGGGCAGCAGUAGGGACUCUUCCGCAACGGAGGCAAGGCUGACGGAGCAACGCCGCGUGAGUGACGAAGGUUUUCGGAUCGUAAAACUCUGUUGUGAGGGAAGAGCACGUACCAACUAACUAUUGGUACCUUGACGGUACCUCACCAGAAAGCCACGGCCAACUACGUGCCAGCAGCCGCGGUAA